CGGCGGCGCGGGGCGGGGCGACCGGGCGCCGCUCCCAUUGGGCCUCUCGGGCGCCCGCCGCCGGCCAGGCUUCUGCACACAUGUGAACCCGGUAAAUCUUGUCUGUCAGGUGCCUGAGACUACUACUUGGACAUCUGCCUCUCUGUUCUUCAGACUGGAUAACCCCCGUUGGAGACCCGUCUGUACCUGGCCACGCCUGGGAUUGAGUUGGUGACAGUGGACCAGUGGACGCUUCUUAGUUUUGACACAGCCACUCUGGACGUGAAAGGAGCUGGCACGAGGGGAGACAGGGGGAGGGAACUCUGUGAGCUUCCAGUCUUUCCUGUGGAUGUGAAGUUAUUCCAAUAAAAAGAACGAAAGGA
This is a long non-coding RNA of Eptesicus fuscus (big brown bat), 362 nucleotides long. RefSeq lists it as uncharacterized. The record is from RefSeq and is a predicted model, not a curated record. The transcript is spliced from 3 exons. NCBI's taxonomy places the organism in Eukaryota, Metazoa, Chordata, Mammalia, Chiroptera, Vespertilionidae.